GUUAGGACUUACUGUAUUUGAUUUGUAUACAAAGGCUAUGGGAUUAUAUUUACUCCCUCACAACAGUCCUAUGAGGUAAGUAUAGGACCCCUAUUUCUCAUAGGAGGCUCUGUAGCUUAGACAAGUGAAGCAACAAGCUAAGGUCACAUAUGCUGAGAGAUGAACCAAAGUCUGACCAACUCGGGAUCCUGCCAUGCUAAGUGCUCUUUGUCCUCUACUAACUGCUGACAGUUAAGCUACAUAUUAAAGAAUGAAGAGUUCACGAGAUGGGACCAUCUAGUUGCAGGAAAACAAGCUCAGGGCUUCACUGAUUCUACAUUAUGCACAUACAGGCGUGUGUGAGUAUGUGUAAACAACAAACACUGAACCUGAUCCCGUGCGACUCAAAGUCCAGUCCUCUGACCAGUAGCACCAGCAACAGCUGGGAGCUUGUCGGAAAUACAGACCCUCAGGUCCCGCCCCGAACUGACUGAAUCAGACUCUGCUGUUUAACAAAAUCCCCGAGUGAUUCAUAGAGAUACUAAAGUUUGAGAAGCCCUGCUCUAAAUAAUCUCGUUUGUACCUUCUAACACAUCACCAGGAGGGUGAAGGGAAUGCACACGCUCCACCUCAUCCUGUGAUCUCCAGAGUCAACUGAACAUCCCCAUCCAGAUGGCACUGAAAAGAACCUCUGCCAACCCUACAGCCAAGUGGUUUUAGACUCAUGGCUGAAAGAAUUUUGGCAGAGGCUCCAAAGCUGAUAAGGAAGGGUGUUAAUUAUCUGCACAGUCUAAAAGGAGAUGCCAGAGCAGCUAGGAAAACCUUGCUGAGGGCUUUCAACACAACCCUGGAGCAUUCAGACACAACACAGAGAUAAGAGGAAUUGAGAAAUUUGUGAAAAUGGAAAAGAAACUGAUCAUCUGAUCAUGUGUCCAAUCUCUACUACAGGUUUUGAGCUUGAAUUAGGCUCAUAUUGUCAAAAAGAGAGAAGCUUCACUUGCAUGAGAAAUUGAAGUUUUUAUGUUAGAUUUAUCUUCAUCCUUUUUAUGUUGCUAUAACAGAAUACCUGAGACUUGGGAGUUUACAAGAAAAGAGAUUUCUUUAGCUCGUGAUUCUGACAACUGGAAAAUUCAAGAUCAGGCAGCUGCAUCUGGUGAGGGCCCCAUGCUGCUUAAACUCAUGGCAGAAAGUGGAAGGGGAGCUGGCAUGUGCAAAGAGAUGACAUGGUGGGAGGAAGGAAAAGAUUGGAACUGAGGAAGCCAGACUCUUUUUAACAACCUGCUGUCAGGAAAUAAUCCAUUCCUGCAAGAGGAAGAACUCACUUGCCCCCACAGGAGGCCAUUAAUCUACUCAUAAGAGAUCUGCCCAAUAACCCAAAUACCUCCCACUAGGCCCCACCUCCCAACACUUCCACAUUGGAGAUCAAAUUUCAGCAUGAUCUUUGGCAGAGACAAACCAAAUCAUAGCAAGACUGGACUCGGGUUUUUAAAAACUUAUAGAAAUUUUCGAACAUACGAAAAUAGAAUAGUAUAAUGAACUUCCAUGUCCUUAUCACCCAGCACACUACCCUGAUAUUCUACAUAUUAAAAAUUUGGAGCACAAGUAUACUUGACUAUUUUAAUACCUAAAUGUGAUGACUUCAUUUUGAUGUUUAAUCACUGGCAGCUUUCAGGCCCCACGCUUCUUCCUUCCCCUUUUACCUCACCCGGAAGCCAAUAAGAAAGCCUAGGAUUCUCCCUCAUGUGAUUGUACAAAUUCCAUAGGUUUUCUGGUCUCUUUUAGAUGACAUAAACAGUCUUAUUUUUAGUGUUCUGUGGGUGCCCUGUUAGGGAAGGAUCAAUUCCCCACUCAAUAUCAUUUUGGGUAUCAGGACUGAUGGUGUUAUACAUGCACCCAGAGGGUAUGAAUAUUACUCAUAUAAUGAAACUCUAGGGAGAAUAUGGCAGGUAUUCAAGCUCUUCUGGAAUGGCUUGAGUCAAGAGAAGAGCAAGUACUUUGGAUUUUUAUUAUAGUUAGGGGAUGGAGCCUGGGUGAGUUUCACAUAGCUCAGGGAUUACCUCCUCUACCCACAGGCAUCACCUCAGGGUAUCCAUGCUUCUUGUGCCUACACCUUCUCCUGGCUGGCUGAGUGUUCUGGAAGUCUAAGCGCAGAGAGAUAAAAGUUUCUGCAGAGAGCAGUUUCUUCCAGCAGAACAGUGCUGUGCCAGAACACUGAGGCCAGCAGUGGCAUGGCACUUUUCCCAGGAUCAGCUCUCACUGGGAACACUGAAUAUAUAUUAUAAAUUAUACCUUUUCAUAGAUGAAUUUCUAGGAAAAUUUUAUUCCCUAUUUUCAUGAGUUGUUCCUCCCUAACGAUAGAUGUUAAAGGCUCUAAUUGUCC
Molecule: long non-coding RNA, 2359 nt
Filed under: Homo sapiens (human)
Lineage: Eukaryota; Metazoa; Chordata; Mammalia; Primates; Hominidae
Description: HSALNT0108339
Source: RNAcentral